CUACGUGCCAGCAGCCGCGGUAAUACGUAGGGCGCGAGCGUUGUCCGGAAUUAUUGGGCGUAAAGAGCUUGUAGGCGGUUUGUCGCGUCUGCUGUGAAAGGCCGGGGCUUAGCCCCGUGUAUUGCAGUGGGUACGGGCAGACUAGAGUGCAGUAGGGGAGACUGGAAUUCCUGGUGUAGCGGUGGAAUGCGCAGAUAUCAGGAGGAACACCGAUGGCGAAGGCAGGUCUCUGGGCUGUAACUGACGCUGAGAAGCGAAAGCAUGGGGAGCGAACAGGAUUAGAUACCCUGGUAGUCCAUGCCGUAAACGUUGGGCACUAGGUGUGGGGGACAUUCCACGUUUUCCGCGCCGUAGCUAACGCAUUAAGUGCCCCGCCUGGGGAGUACGGCCGCAAGGCUAAAACUCAAAGAAAUUGACGGGGGCCCGCACAAGCGGCGGAGCAUGCGGAUUAAUUCGAUGCAACGCGAAGAACCUUACCAAGGCUUGACAU
Molecule: ribosomal RNA, 490 nt
Filed under: uncultured bacterium
Lineage: Bacteria
Description: bacterial SSU rRNA
Rfam family: Bacterial small subunit ribosomal RNA
Source: RNAcentral